GAUGAAGAACGCAGCGAAAUGCGAUAAGUAAUGUGAAUUGCAGAAUUCCGUGAGUCAUCGAAUCUUUGAACGCACAUUGCGCCCCCUGGUAUUCCGGAGGGCAUGUCUGUCCGAGCGUCAUUAGUCCAAUCUCAAGCCCGGCUUGUCGUUGGGUCGCACCGCCCGGGGCGGUGGACCCGAAAUAUAAUGACGGGGUCUAGCGGACCGUGGGCGCAGCGAGCUUUUACAGCACGCGUCCCGGCGUCAUCUAGACGCGUCUCCAACCAUACUCUCUGUAGGUUGACCUCGGAUCAGACAGGAUUACCCGCUGAACUUAAGCAUAUCAAUAAGCGGAGGA
This 337-nucleotide unclassified non-coding RNA is filed under the name soil metagenome. RNAcentral describes it as "partial contains 5.8S ribosomal RNA, internal transcribed spacer 2, and large subunit ribosomal RNA". The stretch from base 1 to 120 matches the Rfam family "5.8S ribosomal RNA", at positions 35 to 154 of the family's 154-position model. The record is from RNAcentral.